This 468-nucleotide ribosomal RNA is filed under the name uncultured bacterium. Its description in RNAcentral is "partial 16S ribosomal RNA". It matches the Rfam family "Bacterial small subunit ribosomal RNA", at positions 28 to 507 of the family's 1533-position model. The record is from RNAcentral.
GACGAACGCUGGCGGCGUGCUUAACACAUGCAAGUCGAACGGAAAGGCCCUGCUUUUGUGGGGUGCUCGAGUGGCGAACGGGUGAGUAACACGUGAGUAACCUGCCCUUGACUUUGGGAUAACUUCAGGAAACUGGGGCUAAUACCGGAUAGGAGCUCCUGCUGCAUGGUGGGGGUUGGAAAGUUUCGGCGGUUGGGGAUGGACUCGCGGCUUAUCAGCUUGUUGGUGGGGUAGUGGCUUACCAAGGCUUUGACGGGUAGCCGGCCUGAGAGGGUGACCGGCCAGAGUGGGAAUGAGAUACGGACCAGACGGCGACGGGAGGCAGCAGUGGGGAAGAUGGCAAAAUGGGCGGAAGCGUGAUGCAGCCACGCCGCGUGCGGGAUGACGGAGUUCGGGUUGUAAACAGAUGUCGCCGGUGAAGAAGCGUGAGGGACGGUAAUGGGUAAAGAAGCACAGGAUAACUACGUG